CGCGGGGUGGAGCAGCCCGGUAGCUCGUCAGGCUCAUAACCUGAAGGCCGCACGUUCAAAUCGUGCCCCCGCAA
This 74-nucleotide transfer RNA is filed under the name Acidocella aminolytica 101 = DSM 11237. RNAcentral describes it as "tRNA-Met". It matches the Rfam family "tRNA". From Rfam's summary of the family: Transfer RNA (tRNA) molecules are approximately 80 nucleotides in length. The record is from RNAcentral. Lineage: Bacteria; Pseudomonadati; Pseudomonadota; Alphaproteobacteria; Acetobacterales; Acidocellaceae.